This 313-nucleotide small nuclear RNA is filed under the name Castor canadensis (American beaver). RNAcentral's name for it is "7SK RNA (ENSCCNG00000000474.1)". It matches the Rfam family "7SK RNA". Rfam says of the family: 7SK was discovered as an abundant small nuclear RNA in the mid-70s but a possible function has only recently been suggested. Two independent studies have found that 7SK RNA binds the CDK9/cyclin T complex (known as elongation factor P-TEFb). The record is from Rfam by way of RNAcentral. Lineage: Eukaryota; Metazoa; Chordata; Mammalia; Rodentia; Castoridae.
GGAUGUGAGGGCAAUCUGGCCGUGACAUCUGUCACCCCAUUGGUCACCAGGGUUGAUUUGGCUGAUCUUUCUGUGUAGGCAGGUGUCCCCUUCCUCCCUCACCACUCCAUGUGCAUCCCUUCCAAAGCUGUGUGCUUGGUUGAAGAUGACGACCAUCCCAAAAGACGAGGACUGUUCUUCCUUCGUAGGUAUACGAGUAGCUGCACUCCCCUGCUAGAACCGCCAAACAAGCUCUCAAAAUAACAAGAGCAAAAUGAACUGGAGGUGUGGCUCAAGCAGUAGAGCCCCUGCUUUGCAAGUGCAAAGCCCUGAG